This is a small nucleolar RNA of Gossypium arboreum, 107 nucleotides long. It matches the Rfam family "Plant small nucleolar RNA R71". Rfam says of the family: R71 is a member of the C/D box family of snoRNAs containing the C (UGAUGA) and D (CUGA) box motifs. Multiple nearly identical copies of this snoRNA have been identified in Arabidopsis, and it is thought to function as a 2'-O-ribose methylation guide for 18S ribosomal RNA. The record is from Rfam. NCBI's taxonomy places the organism in Eukaryota, Viridiplantae, Streptophyta, Magnoliopsida, Malvales, Malvaceae.
AACCCAAGGUGAGGGCACCUUCUCAAUAAGUCCUUAUAUCUCUCUCAUGCAUCUUAUAAGGUUUCCAAAUCCGUUUGUACAAAGGAGGAGAUAUCAUUCCUCAGCUU